RNAcentral lists this ribosomal RNA (169 nucleotides) under Russulaceae sp. RNAcentral's name for it is "partial large subunit ribosomal RNA". It matches the Rfam family "Eukaryotic large subunit ribosomal RNA", at positions 100 to 261 of the family's 3401-position model. Lineage: Eukaryota; Fungi; Basidiomycota; Agaricomycetes; Russulales; Russulaceae. The record is from RNAcentral.
GGGAAAAGCUCAAAUUUUAAAUCUGCUAGGUUUUACUUAUCAGAAUUGUAAUUUGAAGAAGCGUUUUCCGCGCUGGACCGUGCAUAAGUCUCCUGGAACGGAGCGUCAUAGAGGGUGAGAAUCCCGUCUUUGGCACGGACCCCCAGGGCUUCUGUGAUGCGCUCUCGAA